GUACACGCUGUGACUAGCAUAUCAAUAAGCGGAGGAAAAGAAACUAACAAGGAUUCCCCUAGUAACGGCGAGUGAAGCGGGAAGAGCUCAAAUUUGAAAUCUUAAAGGGUUUCCCUUUACGAAUUGUAGUUUAAAGAAGUGUUUUCUGUUGAGGUUUUGGUAAAAGUUCUUUGGAAUAGGACAUCAUAGAGGGUGAGAAUCCCGUAUUUGACCUUUACUUUCAACUUUGUGAUACACUUUCAAAGAGUCGGAUUGUUUGGGAAUGCAGUCCAAAAGUGGGUGGUAAAUUUCAUCUAAAGCUAAAUAUUGGCGAGAGACCGAUAGCGAACAAGUACCGUGAGGGAAAGAUGAAAAGAACUUUGAAAAGAGAGUUAAACAGUACGUGAAAUUGUCAAAAGGGAAGCGUUUGACACCAGUGUUGUUUUUCUGAAAAUCAAUUAAAGAACUGUUUAUGCUAAGUUGUUUAGACUUUAUCAGCUAUCUGUUUAGUUUUGAGCUUUUCUUUAAUGCACUUUUCAGUUAACAAGUCAACAUCAAUUUCUUUUGCUGUAAAAAAGCUUGAGGAAGGUGGCUUGAGAUUCGUCUUAAGUGUUUAUAGCCUCUUGCCUAUGCAGUCGGAGAGAUUGAGGUCUGCAGCGUAGAUCCUUCGGGGCUAAAUGCAUUUGUGCUAAGUUAUAGCAUUUUAUAGACAACUUGUUGACUAUGAUUUGUCUUGUAGCUUACUCGCUUAUGUUAUUUUACCUACGCUUAGGAUGUUGAAGUCAUCGUAUCGCGC
This 775-nucleotide ribosomal RNA is filed under the name uncultured Neocallimastigales. RNAcentral's name for it is "partial large subunit ribosomal RNA". It matches the Rfam family "Eukaryotic large subunit ribosomal RNA", at positions 22 to 645 of the family's 3401-position model. The record is from RNAcentral. Lineage: Eukaryota; Fungi; Neocallimastigomycota; Neocallimastigomycetes; Neocallimastigales.